This 547-nucleotide long non-coding RNA is filed under the name Jatropha curcas. RNAcentral's name for it is "long non-coding RNA (JCUR_LNC002494)". Lineage: Eukaryota; Viridiplantae; Streptophyta; Magnoliopsida; Malpighiales; Euphorbiaceae. The record is from RNAcentral.
GUGGCGCCACUGACUAAUUUCCACGUGAUGUGAUUAUAUGAAGAUGUAAAUGAUUGUGAGUGCUGGUGAUUUGCCAUUUGUGUGACUGGCUGCGUGAGCAUAUAACUAGUCGGAUGACUAGAUUGAUAUGUUUACACAUUUGUGUGACUGCGUGUAUUGUGUAAUAAUUAUUACUCCUUAGAAAACUCACAUGUUUUGUUUGAUGUUUCAGGAAGUAAGUCCUUCUUUAAUACGAUUUAGGAUAUGUUCCUUCGGCGCAGGGCAAUAGAGAAAUUUUUCCUAAUUCUAUAAUUAUUUUACUAUGUAAUUAUAUGUAUAAAAAGCUAUGUAUACCAAAUAGUUAGUGACUCCGCAGUUGUAGAAUUUACUUACAUUUAGUCGGGUAUUAUCAUAGAUGAAAUGAUUCUGUGAGCCCAUAUUAGAAACGUGAUGUAUUGUAAAUUGGGCCCGAACUGUGGAAUUUUGUAGAAGAUAAAUUUGGGCCGAGAUGUAAUAAAAUCUUGAGGUUUAUUUUUUUUAGUAAUAUGGGCUGAAUAUUUGAAAUUUA